Molecule: ribosomal RNA, 232 nt
Filed under: Acinetobacter baumannii
Lineage: Bacteria; Pseudomonadati; Pseudomonadota; Gammaproteobacteria; Moraxellales; Moraxellaceae
Description: partial 23S ribosomal RNA
Rfam family: Bacterial large subunit ribosomal RNA
Source: RNAcentral
AGGUUAACCGUAUAGGGGAGCCGUAGAGAAAUCGAGUCUUAAUAGGGCGUUUAGUUGCUGGGUAUAGACCCGAAACCAGGCGAUCUAUCCAUGAGCAGGUUGAAGGUUGGGUAACACUAACUGGAGGACCGAACCCACUGUCGUUGAAAAGCCAGGGGAUGACUUGUGGAUAGGGGGGAAAGGCUAAUCAAGCCUGGUGAUAGCUGGUUCUCCCCGAAAGCUAUUUAGGUAG